This is a non-coding RNA of Suillus paluster, 73 nucleotides long. The record is from the annotation of a RefSeq genome assembly. Lineage: Eukaryota; Fungi; Basidiomycota; Agaricomycetes; Boletales; Suillaceae.
GUGUUGAUGGGGUAGUUGGUUAUCGCAUCUGUCUAUCACAUAGAAGGUCCCUAGUUCGAGCUUGGGUCAAAUA